RNAcentral lists this ribosomal RNA (304 nucleotides) under uncultured Acinetobacter sp. RNAcentral describes it as "bacterial SSU rRNA". It matches the Rfam family "Bacterial small subunit ribosomal RNA", at positions 30 to 334 of the family's 1533-position model. The record is from RNAcentral. Lineage: Bacteria; Pseudomonadati; Pseudomonadota; Gammaproteobacteria; Moraxellales; Moraxellaceae.
AUUGAACGCUGGCGGCAGGCUUAACACAUGCAAGUCGAGCGGGGAAGAGUAGCUUGCUACUUAACCUAGCGGCGGACGGGUGAGUAAUGCUUAGGAAUCUGCCUAUUAGUGGGGGACAACAUCUCGAAAGGGAUGCUAAUACCGCAUACGUCCUACGGGAGAAAGCAGGGGACCUUCGGGCCUUGCGCUAAUAGAUGAGCCUAAGUCGGAUUAGCUAGUUGGUGGGGUAAAGGCCUACCAAGGCGACGACCUGUAGCGGGUCUGAGAGGAUGAUCCGCCACACUGGGACUGAGACACGGCCCAG